GAUGAACGCUAGCUACAGGCUUAACACAUGCAAGUCGAGGGGAAACGAUAGAGAAAGCUUGCUUUUUCUAGGCGUCGACCGGCGCACGGGUGAGUAACGCGUAUCCAACCUGCCCACCACUUGGGGAUAACCUUGCGAAAGUAAGACUAAUACCCAAUGACGUCUCUAGAAGACAUCUGAAAGAGAUUAAAGAUUUAUCGGUGUACGAUGGGGAUGCGUUCCAUUAGGUAGUAGGCGGGGUAACGGCCCACCUAGCCUACGAUGGAUAGGGGUUCUGAGAGGAAGGUCCCCCACAUUGGAACUGAGACACGGUCCAAACUCCUACGGGAGGCAGCAGUGAGGAAUAUUGGUCAAUGGACGAGAGUCUGAACCAGCCAAGUAGCGUGAAGGAUGAAGGUCCUACGGAUUGUAAACUUCUUUUAUAAGGGAAUAAAACCUCCCACGUGUGGGAGCUUGUAUGUACCUUAUGAAUAAGCAUCGGCUAACUCCGUG
Molecule: ribosomal RNA, 492 nt
Filed under: uncultured bacterium
Lineage: Bacteria
Description: bacterial SSU rRNA
Rfam family: Bacterial small subunit ribosomal RNA
Source: RNAcentral